This 349-nucleotide unclassified non-coding RNA is filed under the name soil metagenome. RNAcentral's name for it is "partial contains 5.8S ribosomal RNA, internal transcribed spacer 2, and large subunit ribosomal RNA". The stretch from base 1 to 120 matches the Rfam family "5.8S ribosomal RNA", at positions 35 to 154 of the family's 154-position model. The record is from RNAcentral.
GAUGAAGAACGUAGCGAAAUGCGAUAAGUAAUGUGAAUUGCAGAAUUCCGUGAAUCAUCGAAUCUUUGAACGCACAUUGCGCCCCCUGGUAUUCCGGGGGGCAUGCCUGUCCGAGCGUCAUUGCAACCCUCAAGCGCGGCUUGUGUGUUGGGCCCUCGUCCCCCGUGGACGUGCCCGAAAUGCAGUGGCGGCGUCGUGUUCCGGUGCCCGAGCGUAUGGGGCUUUGUCACCCGCUCUUGAGGCCGGCCGGCUCCGGCCCAUCAACCAUCGAGGACCCGUUCCUCAACCAGGUUGACCUCGGAUCAGGUAGGGAUACCCGCUGAACUUAAGCAUAUCAAUAAGCGGAGGA